This 484-nucleotide ribosomal RNA is filed under the name uncultured bacterium. RNAcentral's name for it is "partial 16S ribosomal RNA". It matches the Rfam family "Bacterial small subunit ribosomal RNA", at positions 30 to 507 of the family's 1533-position model. The record is from RNAcentral.
AUUGAACGCUGGCGGCAGGCCUAACACAUGCAAGUCGAGCGGAUGAAGGGAGCUUGCUCCUGGAUUCAGCGGCGGACGGGUGAGUAAUGCCUAGGAAUCUGCCUGGUAGUGGGGGAUAACGUCCGGAAACGGGCGCUAAUACCGCAUACGUCCUGAGGGAGAAAGUGGGGGAUCUUCGGACCUCACGCUAUCAGAUGAGCCUAGGUCGGAUUAGCUAGUUGGUGGGGUAAAGGCCUACCAAGGCGACGAUCCGUAACUGGUCUGAGAGGAUGAUCAGUCACACUGGAACUGAGACACGGUCCAGACUCCUACGGGAGGCAGCAGUGGGGAAUAUUGGACAAUGGGCGAAAGCCUGAUCCAGCCAUGCCGCGUGUGUGAAGAAGUUCUUCGGAUUAUAAAGCACUUUAAGUUGGGAGGAAGUGCAGUAAGUUAAUACCUUGCUGUUUUGACGUUACCAACAGAAUAAGCACCGGCUAACUUCGUG